Molecule: long non-coding RNA, 687 nt
Organism: Zalophus californianus (California sea lion)
Lineage: Eukaryota; Metazoa; Chordata; Mammalia; Carnivora; Otariidae
Exons: 4
Source: RefSeq, a predicted model, not a curated record
UUCCUUGCUGGUAUUUGUGGCCAUGUGACUGAGUUCUUGCUAAUGGAAUAUGAGCAGAAUGAUGUUAUGUCACUCUAAGGACUGACGCAAAAAACCUCUCAUGUUUGAUUUUUUCAUAUUCUUUCACCUUCUAGGGCUUGAUGAAGACAAAAGUGUUAACAUUGGAAGCCAUGUGUUGAAGAUGGUGUAGCUGUAAAAUGGAAGGGUACUAGAUCUUGGAGCUACGACUUGGAGAAGAACUCAUUGAUCAAGACUUUACAUGACUGCAUGUAAGACUGGCCUUUCUCUAGUGUGAUGACUCCUUCAGCUGAGCUGUGGUUGGCGAAGACAAAGAUCAUCACCAGUGACCACUCCCCUGGUGCAAAUUAUAAGCCAAGAAGGAAGGAGGGACAGACUUCCAGGGAAGAUGGUCGAGGAAGAGGACCCUAAGUGAACCUUGUCUUGUGGAUACAACUAGAUGACACUUACAUCAGUUUAGGAGUGCCUUUGGUAUCACACCAUUUGUGGAGGAGUCUCCAUCCUUGUGGGGCUGACCUUGAAUGCCAGUGCUGCCCAAUGAGAGCAGGAUCUUCUACUCCUGACCCAGCAGAGUUGGAUGCGGAGAAGGGCCGAGAUCUCCUUCAGGGAAAGAUCUAAAUUGAAGUCACUCCCAUUUUCACUCCAGACGUUGUCCAUAACUAAAGUGAU